Molecule: ribosomal RNA, 496 nt
Filed under: uncultured bacterium
Lineage: Bacteria
Description: partial 16S ribosomal RNA
Rfam family: Bacterial small subunit ribosomal RNA
Source: RNAcentral
AUGCACGCUGGCGGCGUGCCUAAUACCUGCAAGUCGAGCGAACAGACGAGGAGCUUGCUCCUCUGACGUUAGCGGCGGACGGGUGAGUAACACGUGGAUAACCUACCUAUAAGACUGGGAUAACUUCGGGAAACCGGAGCUAAUACCGGAUAAUAUAUUGAACCGCAUGGUUCAAUAGUGAAAGACGGUUUUGCUGUCACUUAUAGGUGGAUCCGCGCCGCAUUAGCUAGUUGGUAAGGUAACGGCUUACCAAGGCAACGAUGCGUAGCCGACCUGAGAGGGUGAUCGGCCACACUGGAACUGAGACACGGUCCAGACUCCUACGGGAGGCAGCAGUAGGGAAUCUUCCGCAAUGGGCGAAAGCCUGACGGAGCAACGCCGCGUGAGUGAUGAAGGUCUUCGGAUCGUAAAACUCUGUUAUUAGGGAAGAACAAAUGUGUAAGUAACUAUGCACGUCUUGACGGUACCUAAUCAGAAAGCCACGGCUAACUACGUG